Molecule: ribosomal RNA, 440 nt
Filed under: uncultured bacterium
Lineage: Bacteria
Description: partial 16S ribosomal RNA
Rfam family: Bacterial small subunit ribosomal RNA
Source: RNAcentral
CCUACGGGAGGCAGCAGUGGGGAAUAUUGCACAAUGGGGGAAACCCUGAUGCAGCGACGCCGCGUGAGUGAAGAAGUAUUUCGGUAUGUAAAGCUCUAUCAGCAGGGAAGAAAAUGACGGUACCUGAUUAAGAAGCCCCGGCUAACUACGUGCCAGCAGCCGCGGUCAUACGUAGGGGGCAAGCGUUAUCCGGAUUUACGGGGUGUAAAGGGAUCGUAGACGGCAGCACAAGUCUGGAGUGAAAUGCCGGGGCUUAACCCCGGAACUGCUUUGGAGACUGUGCAGCUAGAGUGCAGGAGAGGUAAGUGGAAUUCCUAGUGUAGCGGUGAAAUGCGUAGAUAUAAGGAGGAACACCAGUGGCGAAGGCGGCUUACUGGACUGUAACUGACGUUGAGGCUCGAAAGCGUGGGGAGCAAACAGGAUUAGAUACCCCAGUAGUC